This 99-nucleotide ribosomal RNA is filed under the name uncultured bacterium. RNAcentral's name for it is "partial 16S ribosomal RNA". The record is from RNAcentral.
CACACACCGCCCGUCAAGCCAUGGAAGCCGGGGGGACCUGAAGUCGGCGUGCUAACCGCAAGGAGGCAGCCGGCCACGGUAGGAUCAGCGACUGGGCCG